Molecule: ribosomal RNA, 468 nt
Filed under: uncultured bacterium
Lineage: Bacteria
Description: partial 16S ribosomal RNA
Rfam family: Bacterial small subunit ribosomal RNA
Source: RNAcentral
GACGAACGCUGGCGGCGUGCUUAACACAUGCAAGUCGAACGGAAAGGCCCUGCUUUUGUGGGGUGCUCGAGUGGCGAACGGGUGAGUAACACGUGAGUAACCUGCCCUUGACUUUGGGAUAACUUCAGGAAACUGGGGCUAAUACCGGAUAGGAGCUCCUGCUGCAUGGUGGGGGUUGGAAAGUUUCGGCGGGUGGGGAUGGACGCGCGGCUUAUCAGCUUGUUGGUGGGGUAGUGGCUUACCAAGGCUUUGACGGGUAGCCGGCCUGAGAGGGUGACCGGACACAUUGGGACUGCGAUACGGCCCAGACUCCUACGGGAGGCAGCAGUGGGGAAUAUUGCACAAUGGGCGGAAGCCUGAUGCAGCAACGCCGCGUGCGGGAUGACGGCCUUCGGGUUGUAAACCGCUUUCGCCUGUGACGAAGCGUGAGUGACGGUAAUGGGUAAAGAAGCACCGGCUAACUACGUG